GACGAACGCUGGCAGUGUGCUUUACACAUGCAAGUCGAGCGGAUUUCUCUGUUUGUAGCAAUACAAACGGAGGAAUCGAGCGGCAAACGGGUGAGUAAUGGAUAGGUAAUCUACCAUAAUGACUGGGAUACCCCCUUGAAAAAGGGAUCAAUACCAGAUAAUGUCAGUUUAAAUACUUUUAAGCUGAAGAAAGAUGGCCUAAAGCUAUCACAUUAUGACGAGCCUAUCUCCUAUCAGCUUGUUGGUGAGGUAAUGGCUCACCAAGGCUAUGACGGGUAGCUGGUCUGAGAGGAUGGUCAGCCACACUGGAACUUAGACACGGUCCAGACUCCUACGGGAGGCAGCAGUGGGGAAUCUUGGGUAAUGGGCGAAAGCCUGACCCAGCGACACUGCGUGGGUGAUGAAGAUCUUUGGAUUGUAAAACCCUUUUCCUGAAGAUGAAAGGUAGGAUUGAGAAUAUCCUUCCUACCCUGACAGUAUUCAGGGAAUAAG
This 492-nucleotide ribosomal RNA is filed under the name uncultured bacterium. RNAcentral's name for it is "bacterial SSU rRNA". It matches the Rfam family "Bacterial small subunit ribosomal RNA", at positions 28 to 490 of the family's 1533-position model. The record is from RNAcentral.